GUUAGGCUGUGAAGCGAAGGGACUGGGGAGCUCUAAGCUAAAAAGACCCUUUACCUCUCUAAGCCUCAGUUUCUUCUUCAGUAAAACAAGGAAACAGUCUGUUUUGUCUUAUUGUUACAGGGUUCUGGAAUUCUGUAGACUCUUUCCAGGUUCUUGGUGUCCUGAAUAAAGAAUUGGGCCAAAAAAGUAGUGAGGAUGAAAGACAAGGUGGCCAGGCCCAAGCCUUGUAAUACAUCAAGUCAGUGUCACAGAGCUCCCAGUCCUCGCAGGCCGUGCUGGCUGCUGGGAGGCAUAGGUUACACAGAAGCAGCUGCCCUCAGUGCCUAUGAACUGGAUGAGUCUGCCUUGAAGAUGUGUACUGAGUAAGCGUGGUGC
Molecule: long non-coding RNA, 375 nt
Organism: Chinchilla lanigera (long-tailed chinchilla)
Lineage: Eukaryota; Metazoa; Chordata; Mammalia; Rodentia; Chinchillidae
Exons: 3
Source: RefSeq, a predicted model, not a curated record